CAGUCGCCACGGUAAUACGUAGGGUGCGAGCGUUAAUCGGAAUUACUGGGCGUAAAGCGUGCGCAGGCGGUUGUGUAAGACAGGUGUGAAAUCCCCGGGCUUAACCUGGGAACUGCGCUUGUGACUGCACAACUAGAGUAUGGCAGAGGGGGGUGGAAUUCCACGUGUAGCAGUGAAAUGCGUAGAGAUGUGGAGGAACACCGAUGGCGAAGGCAGCCCCCUGGGCCAAUACUGACGCUCAUGCACGAAAGCGUGGGGAGCAAACAGGAUUAGAUACCCCGGUAGUCCCUGUCUCUUAUAA
Molecule: ribosomal RNA, 301 nt
Filed under: uncultured bacterium
Lineage: Bacteria
Description: partial 16S ribosomal RNA
Rfam family: Bacterial small subunit ribosomal RNA
Source: RNAcentral